GGCCCCGUGGUGUAGUGGUCAACAUUCCACCUUGUCACGGUGGCGUCGUGGGUUCAAAUCCCAUCGGGGUCGCCA
This 75-nucleotide transfer RNA is filed under the name marine sediment metagenome. RNAcentral describes it as "tRNA-Asp". It matches the Rfam family "tRNA". From Rfam's summary of the family: Transfer RNA (tRNA) molecules are approximately 80 nucleotides in length. Their secondary structure includes four short double-helical elements and three loops (D, anti-codon, and T loops). The record is from RNAcentral.